GAUGAAGAACGUAGCAAAAUGCGAUAAGUAAUGUGAAUUGCAGAAUUCAGUGAAUCAUCGAAUCUUUGAACGCACAUUGCGCCCGCCAGUAUUCUGGCGGGCAUGCCUGUUCGAGCGUCAUUUCAACCCUCAAGCACAGCUUGGUGUUGGGACUCGCGUUAAUUCGCGUUCCCCAAAUUGAUUGGCGGUCACGUCGAGCUUCCAUAGCGUAGUAGUAAAACCCUCGUUACUGGUAAUCGUCGCGGCCACGCCGUUAAACCCCAACUUCUGAAUGUUGAUCUCGGAUCAGGUAGGAAUACCCGCUGAACUUAAGCAUAUCAAUAAGCGGAGGA
Molecule: unclassified non-coding RNA, 332 nt
Filed under: soil metagenome
Description: partial contains 5.8S ribosomal RNA, internal transcribed spacer 2, and large subunit ribosomal RNA
Rfam family: 5.8S ribosomal RNA (bases 1-120)
Source: RNAcentral